AUUUUUGCUUCUCUCUCUCCCAAAGUAUUGAAUGCAUCUCACAAGACACGCUCCAUAAUCCUCUUCCAUUAGUGCUUGGUUCUUCUACGAAAAGGUACUCACCUGUAGUUGUACUUCAAGCAUCAAGUUGCGUAGUCUAUUGGAAAUGUGAUUUAGUUUUCCAUUAUGCAUAUCCGAGAAAACACACAAAGGAAUUUACCCUAAAUUAAAUCAGUUUCCUCCAUGCUAGCAAGAUAAAUAUUUUCUAAAGUAUUUGUUUAUUUUCUCAAGCGUGGGAAAUGCUAAACAGAAGUGUUUUGAUUGAAGGGAAUUUGUUGUUAAUGGCGGAUAAAGUGCAAAGGGCUCGUGCUGAGACGCGAACGGUGAAUCAGCGGUUAAGGAUUGAAGCACAAGUUAAAGGAACUUUUUUAGGAAAAUAAAUGGAUUUCAACCUCCAACUGGUAAAAAUAUAUAUGAGGUAGAUAUGAUUUAUAAUUUUGAAAAUCUCUUCUCAAAAUUCUCUCCCAACUCUCAGCAACUCACUCUAUAUAAAACAAUUAAACAAUUUUCGAAACUGAGACUCUCAACAAAAUGAAAUCAAAAUCUCAAAUAGAUUUGUUUCGACCCAGUCGACCACGCCCACUUCAUCAACAUGCCUCCUAUGCUCCCACAAUCAGAGCUGAAAAGCAAUCAACAAAUAUCAAAAACUUCGCUCGUUCGUGUCAUAAACAAAAAGAGCAAAAGCGGGCCGAAACCAAUUCAAGUCCAAAGGCCAGUUAGCAGUUCGACCUUCCGACCCUGGUCGGGCCGCCAUCGCUGACGAGUGUCGACGCACCAAGCCAUGAAUAUUUUAGUAAAUGCCGCGCAAGGCUUUGACUUUACCACUUGGUCACCCUCGGCUCCUCACUAUUUACCCAAAAAAUAGAUGGGCUUGAAGUACUGUAAAGAAAAGGGUAGGGGCUGGGCUAAAGGGUUCUGCUUCGGGGGAACCCAACAAUUUACGCCAUUUUUGGAAAAAGUUUUGCUCUGCUUGUGCGAAUGUUUUCAGUUUUCAGCUGAGUUCUGUUUUUGCAUACCGUAGCGGUGGGUAUGAUGCGGAAGACGCGAUCUUUGAAACUCACAAGUGAAAGUCGACUUGGUCUUAAGAGCUACUGAAAUACAUUUAUUAUUGUGUCGUAUGAAUUAUUCCCAUUGGGAC
This 1177-nucleotide long non-coding RNA is filed under the name Drosophila guanche. The record is from RNAcentral. Lineage: Eukaryota; Metazoa; Arthropoda; Insecta; Diptera; Drosophilidae.